This 301-nucleotide ribosomal RNA is filed under the name uncultured bacterium. RNAcentral describes it as "partial 16S ribosomal RNA". It matches the Rfam family "Bacterial small subunit ribosomal RNA", at positions 509 to 807 of the family's 1533-position model. The record is from RNAcentral.
CAGUAGCCGCGGUAAUGCGAAGGGUGCAAGCGUUAAUCGGAAUUACUGGGCGUAAAGCGUGCGUAGGCGGUUUGUUAAGUCUGUUGUGAAAUCCCCGGGCUCAACCUGGGAAUGGCAAUGGAUACUGGCAAGCUAGAGUGUGUCAGAGGAUGGUGGAAUUCCCUGUGUAGCGGUGAAAUGCGUAGAGAUCGGGAGGAACAUCAGUGGCGAAGGCGGCCAUCUGGGACAACACUGACGCUGAGGCACGAAAGCGUGGGGAGCAAACAGGAUUAGAUACCCGCGUAGUCCCUGUCUCUUAUAC